RNAcentral lists this ribosomal RNA (298 nucleotides) under uncultured bacterium. Its description in RNAcentral is "partial 16S ribosomal RNA". It matches the Rfam family "Bacterial small subunit ribosomal RNA", at positions 28 to 335 of the family's 1533-position model. The record is from RNAcentral.
GAUGAACGCUGGCGGCGUGCCUAACACAUGCAAGUCGAGCGAUCUUCUUCGGAAGAGAGCGGCGGACGGGUGAGUAACGCGUGGGUAACCUGCCUCAUACACAUGGAUAACAUACCGAAAGGUAUGCUAAUACAAGAUGAUAUAAGAGAUUCGCAUGGAUUUCUAUCAAAGCUUUUGCGGUAUGAGAUGGACUCGCGUCUGAUUAGCUAGUUGGUAAGGUAAUGGGCUUACCAAGGCGACGAUCAGUAGCCGACCUGAGAGGGUGAUCGGCCACAUUGGAACUGAGACACGGUCCAAA